RNAcentral lists this ribosomal RNA (506 nucleotides) under uncultured eukaryote. RNAcentral describes it as "eukaryotic LSU rRNA". It matches the Rfam family "Eukaryotic large subunit ribosomal RNA", at positions 1561 to 2031 of the family's 3401-position model. The record is from RNAcentral.
AGCCACGAAACGGUCGAUCGGGCGCGAGCCCGGCAGCCACGACCGGGCAGCGAAAGGGAAUUGGGAACCUCCUUCCCAAACCCGGAACCGGAACGAGGGCGGCGACGCGAACGAAACGGCCGCGGAGACGGCGGCCGCGGCCCCGGAGAGAGUUCUCUUUUCUGUGCGACUGGACGUCGGCCCCGGAAUCGCGUCGAGCGGGAGGGGGGGUCGGAGUUCAGGAAUAGCACCUCGGCCUUUCGGGGUGUCCGGGCGGCCGCGGUCGUCCCAUGAAAAUCCGCGGAUGAACGAGUAGGCGACGGUCCGGGUCGUACCAAUGACCGCAUCGGGUCUCCAAGGUUGAAAGCCUCUGGGCUAACGGGACAACGUAGGUAAGGGAAGUACGGCAAAAUUGGAUCCGUAAACUUCGGGGAAAAGGAUUGGGCUCUAAAAGGGUCGGGCCCGGGGGGUCCGAGGGCGUCCGCCGUGCGGCCUCGACUCGGGGGACCGCCGCUUCGGCGGCGGGC